Molecule: long non-coding RNA, 1036 nt
Organism: Cuculus canorus (common cuckoo)
Lineage: Eukaryota; Metazoa; Chordata; Aves; Cuculiformes; Cuculidae
Exons: 3
Source: RefSeq, a predicted model, not a curated record
AGCUCCUCGCCCGUCCUGCCAUCUCCUCUAGGUGACUGAUUCUUGCUUGCUUGCUCUCACUUUGGCAGUCCUGGGAGGAGCAAUCACUACUCUUAAAGCUUCUUGGUAAUUUUUCUGACUUCUAACAGGUUUUGGGGUGGGGCCAAAUCCAGCUGACCUUGGACUCAAGGUUGCAGCUGUGGGGAUGACUUUUUUGGUUCCACCUGUAAUGGGAAUUCUCCCCAGUUCCAUCAAUGCAUGACUAAUUUCCUGGACAGCUGAGCCAGCAUGAAACUCUGGUGUAGCCACAAGCCAAAUGGUUUCAGCAUUUUGUGCUUCCUCUGAUAUGGAAUCUGACCGCAGUGCUCCAAAUUACUUGCAAGCAGGUGUAUUUUAAAGAAAUAUAGAUGACAUUGAAAGAGCAGAUGAAAUCUUGAGAGUUGUGGACAGAUGAGCAGGGUAAGUCUGCCAAACUUGGCAUAAAGUUUCAGUCACUGAGAGAAGACAGGGUUCUCAGUACUGCAUGCAAGCUUGUGCUUGCCAAGCCACUGCAUAAUAUCACAACAGAGGUCUUAAAUACAUACGGCCCAGAAGCUUGUGCAAUCCCAAUUCUUUACAAAUGGUUGAGUCAGAGUCCAUAGGUUUAUAAAUUACCUUGGUUUCUGGGAGUUACAAGGGACUCGAUAUGAGAAGGGGAUAAUAUGGAAGAGGGAGAGAAGGCAAGAGAAGCAAGCUUCUGGUGCGAAGACAUGAAGCAAGCAGGCUGAGGAUCACAGUAUCACAGAAUCAUAGAACAGUUAGCGUUGGAAGGGACCUUAAAAGAUCAUCUUGUUCCAACCCCUAGUCAUAGCAAGCUAUGUCAGAAUCCCUCCACAAUCUGCAGGCUCCUUACAGUCUCUUGUCACCAAACAAUUUUAAAUGUUAAUGCAAAGUCCAAAGAAAUAAUGAUUUUUGUUAAACUAAGGGAAAAACAUCUAUUGCAAUAUUUUCUCAAAGCUUUUGCAAAGAAGAAGGGAGAGCUGAAAACCAAAGUCAGCAGCCUCAACACAGACCUUAC